This 294-nucleotide long non-coding RNA is filed under the name Homo sapiens (human). Lineage: Eukaryota; Metazoa; Chordata; Mammalia; Primates; Hominidae. The record is from RNAcentral.
CUGGUCUCCAGACAGGACCUCUUCAUUCCUAAUUCCCAGAAGCAGAACUCUCGCCUGGCCUCCAAGAGCUCUCCUCCAGGAAGGAGGGACCACACUGACUCGGGCCCUCCCCCAAUUCCUCCUGAGCCCCAACCCUGCCAAGCCUGGGACCCUCCCCAGCUCAGAGCAAAAGUCUGGGCUCUGAGACCAGGAUAACAAUCAUCUUCCACUCAUCCAUUGCUCAUUGGCCUUUCUGACUCGCCUAGCACCAACCGACAGUAUCACGAACUAGUUACUACGCGUUACCAAGGGCUC